Molecule: ribosomal RNA, 253 nt
Filed under: uncultured bacterium
Lineage: Bacteria
Description: partial 16S ribosomal RNA
Rfam family: Bacterial small subunit ribosomal RNA
Source: RNAcentral
GACAGAGGGUGCAAACGUUGUUCGGAUUUACUGGGCGUAAAGCGCGUGUAGGCGGCUUGGCAAGUCGGAUGUGAAAGCCCACGGCUCAACCGUGGAAGCGCAUCCGAAACUGCUUCGCUCGAGUCUCGGAGAGGAAGGUGGAAUGCUUGGUGUAGAGGUGAAAUUCGUAGAUAUCGGGAGGAACACCAGUGGCGAAGGCGACUACCUGGCCUGUUCUUGACGCUGAGGCGCGAAAGCUAGGGGAGCAAACGGG